CCAAAGGCUCUUUUAAGAGCCAUUCCCAUUGCAAUAAGAGAAUUCU
This is a non-coding RNA of Salmo salar (Atlantic salmon), 46 nucleotides long. The record is from Rfam. Lineage: Eukaryota; Metazoa; Chordata; Actinopteri; Salmoniformes; Salmonidae.